UAGGGGGCAAGCGUUAUCCGGAAUUAUUGGGUGUAAAGGGUGCGUAGACGGGUGUUUAAGUUGGUUGUGAAAUCCCUCGGCUCAACUGAGGAACUGCAACCAAAACUGGAUAUCUUGAGUGUCGGAGAGGAAAGUGGAAUUCCUAGUGUAGCGGUGAAAUGCGUAGAUAUUAGGAGGAACACCAGUGGCGAAGGCGACUUUCUGGACGAUAACUGACGUUGAGGCACGAAAGUGUGGGGAGCAAA
RNAcentral lists this ribosomal RNA (245 nucleotides) under uncultured bacterium. RNAcentral describes it as "partial 16S ribosomal RNA". It matches the Rfam family "Bacterial small subunit ribosomal RNA", at positions 528 to 772 of the family's 1533-position model. The record is from RNAcentral.